RNAcentral lists this ribosomal RNA (496 nucleotides) under uncultured bacterium. Its description in RNAcentral is "partial 16S ribosomal RNA". It matches the Rfam family "Bacterial small subunit ribosomal RNA", at positions 28 to 506 of the family's 1533-position model. The record is from RNAcentral.
GACGAACGCUGGCGGCGUGCCUAAUACAUGCAAGUUGAGCGCUGAAGGUUGGUACUUGUACCAACUGGAUGAGCAGCGAACGGGUGAGUAACGCGUGGGGAAUCUGCCUUUGAGCGGGGGACAACAUUUGGAAACGAAUGCUAAUACCGCAUAAAAACUUUAAACACAAGUUUUAAGUUUGAAAGAUGCAAUUGCAUCACUCAAAGAUGAUCCCGCGUUGUAUUAGCUAGUUGGUGAGGUAAAGGCUCACCAAGGCGAUGAUACAUAGCCGACCUGAGAGGGGGACCGGCCACAUUGGGACUGGGCACCGGCCCAAACCCCUCCGGGAGGCACCAGUGGGGAAUCUUCGGCAAUGGACGAAAGUUUGACCGGGCAACGCCGGGGGAGUGAAAAAGGUUUUCGGAUCGUAAAACUCUGUUGGUAGGGAAGAACGUGGGGGGGAGGGGAAAGCCCAUCAAGUGACGGUAAUUACCCAGAAAGGGACGGCUAACUACGG